Long non-coding RNA from Astatotilapia calliptera (eastern happy), 1247 nucleotides. NCBI's taxonomy places the organism in Eukaryota, Metazoa, Chordata, Actinopteri, Cichliformes, Cichlidae. The record is from Ensembl.
CAGGCUGGUGAAUCUUUACUGGUGUGUGAGCAAUAUUUUCUCUGCAUACUCUUAGCCCCUUACUACCAGCUGAGUGUUGUUUAAACUCCACAGCCUACCUGAGUAUUUUUGCUUUAUUGUUCCUUUAUGACCACGGUGUACACAUCUUCUGAUGGCUGCUUGUAGCAGGAUAACAGACCAUAUCAGAGAGCUCAGAUUAUCUCAAUCUGGUUUAUUAAACAUAACAAUGAGUGUGCUGUACUCAUAUGGUCUCCACAGUCACCAGAUCUCACUCCAAUGGAGCAUCUUUGGGAUGUGAUGGAAUGGGAGAUUCACAUCAUGGAUGUGCAGCCCACAAAUCUGCAGCAACUGUGCGAUGCUGUCAUGUCAAUAUGGACCAAAAUCUCUGGUGAAUGUUUCCAGCAGCUUGUUGAAGUCAAAAGAGGGUCCAACCCAGUACUAGUAAGGUGUACUUAAUAAAGUGUCCAGUGGGUGUAUAUCUGUUCAGUGCAUAACCCACAAUAAUAUAUAAACCCCUCCAGUAAAGCAGUCAAAGUCAAAGCUUGUGUAACCCAACAGUAACUUAGCUAAUCAGAGUUUGUUUAGGUCAGUGGACGCCACCAUCUGAUUAAAAGUUACUCAGUCAAAAAAUGACUUCUUAACCUGCGUUACAUCACUGAGCUCGUGUGUUUAUUGGUGAAAUGCAAACAAAGAAAAACAAACAGAAAAGAGGCGGUGGGUACCUUUGGUUUAGCAGAGGAUCAUUAUGUUUCAUGGUGAUUUAAAGCUUUAUUGGCUUAGAAUUCAAUACAACAAAUGGCAGUGUGGGGUUUUUUCUUCUUUUCUUUUUUUAUAUAAAACAGUAUUUUCAAACACAUUAGGGGUUUUAGCUAUUUGUCACUUUGCUUUUGAUAUGGCAUUAAAAUAUAAUACGAUUUGUACUUCCAAUCCAUGUAAAGGGAGAGUGUCUGGCCGUGUUUAUGAGAGCCUGAGAAGAGAGACAUUUUUUGUCAGGGUCAAACGGAUGUUCAGUGCGUAGCCAUGGGAAGGAAACUAGUGAUAUGCGGGUGCUUGGAUGAUGCAACAGCUGUUGGGAUAAAGAUUUCCCACUGCAGAGACCCAGAGCUGACAGUGUGCCGGGGAUUCAUCUUUGACAAGUUAAACAUAAAAAUCCACAUAAGUAAGAAGACAAAGAAGGUUACGAGAGGAUGCCGAAUGGUCUGAGAAAGGAAGUGACUCAAAUCAUUUCUUAUGUCCUCCACGGUCAC